UACGGAGGGUGCGAGCGUUGUCCGGAAUCACUGGGCGUAAAGGGCGCGUAGGCGGCCUGGCAAGUCGAUGGUGAAAGCCCGAGGCUCAACUUCGGGUCGGCCACUGAUACUGCUGGGCUUGAGUCGACUAGAGGCAGAUGGAAUUCCGGGUGUAGCGGUGGAAUGCGUAGAUAUCAGGAGGAACACCGGUGGCGAAGGCGGCUUUCUGGACAGUAACUGACGCUGAGGCGCGAAAGCCGGGGGAGCAAACAGG
This 253-nucleotide ribosomal RNA is filed under the name uncultured bacterium. Its description in RNAcentral is "partial 16S ribosomal RNA". It matches the Rfam family "Bacterial small subunit ribosomal RNA", at positions 524 to 776 of the family's 1533-position model. The record is from RNAcentral.